AUGCCUGGUAGCAUCUAUACUAAAAAUUGGAACAAUAUGGAGAAGAUUAGCAUGGUCCUUCCCUGUGCAGGAAGGACACGCAAAUUCAGGAAGCAUUCCUUAUUUUU
Molecule: small nuclear RNA, 107 nt
Organism: Artibeus jamaicensis (Jamaican fruit-eating bat)
Lineage: Eukaryota; Metazoa; Chordata; Mammalia; Chiroptera; Phyllostomidae
Source: RefSeq, a predicted model, not a curated record